AGAGCGAACGCUGGCGGCAGGCUUAACACAUGCAAGUCGAGCGCCCCGCAAGGGGAGCGGCAGACGGGAGAGUAACACGUGGGAACGUACCUUUCGGUUCGGAACAACCCAGGGAAACUUGGGCUAAUACCGGAUACGCCCGUAAGGGGAAAGAUUUAUCGCCGGAAGAUCGGCCCGCGUCUGAUUAGCUAGUUGGUGAGGUAACGGCUCACCAAGGCGACGAUCAGUAGCUGGUCUGAGAGGAUGAUCAGCCUCACUGGGACUGAGACACGGCCCAGACUCCUACGGGAGGCAGCAGUGGGGAAUAUUGGACAAUGGGCGCAAGCCUGAUCCAGCCAUGCCGCGUGAGUGAUGAAGGCCCUAGGGUUGUAAAGCUCUUUUGUGCGGGAAGAUAAUGACGGUACCGCAAGAAUAAGCCCCGGCUAACUUCGCGCCAGCAGCCGC
This 444-nucleotide ribosomal RNA is filed under the name uncultured bacterium. RNAcentral's name for it is "SSU rRNA". It matches the Rfam family "Bacterial small subunit ribosomal RNA", at positions 26 to 518 of the family's 1533-position model. The record is from RNAcentral.